CCCAAAGCCAAAUUCACCUGCUUCCUCCAGCCUUUUCCUGACCCUCCACCUGAAUCCCACCUGAUCACUGUUGUUUGGGGUUUUUUUUGCAGUCAAACAGCAUCAGAACAGAAGAGAAGAAAGUUGAAACAACUGGAGGGAGACAUGUAAUUGUGCCUGGAGCCAAGGUGGUUGGAGAGAGCCUUGUGUGGCCCAAGUACCACUAGCUAGCACAAGGGGAAAGUACAUGUGUCCUUAUCAGUAAAGCCCUCAAAAGUUCAUUGGUAACACUGACUUUAUUCAAUCCUUAAACAUUUACCAUGUGUUAAUAGCACAGCCUGAUGAAGCUGUGGGUUUUAUACAUAGAUAUACAUAGGUUUUAUACAUAGAUACAUUCAUUUAUGUGUGUGCAUGUUUAUACAUAUCAAAGCACUCAGAAGAUGCAGUUCUCCUGUAUCCUGUGUCCGUAUCCAGAAGACAAAGUCACACUUUGGGGCAUUCCUGCCAAACUGGGACUGACCAUGGGGUCAGCCCUGGGUGAGAUCAAGGUGGCUGUGGAGGACUGAGCCUUGACUGCCGCCAUCCUCAUGUGAGACACGGCUUUGCUCCGGAGGAUGGACACAAGAGAGGGGUUUGCCUCCUAAGAACACAGAUCUGUGCUAACCCCCCUACUCCAACCUCAUGAAGAGAUUGGAGAGAAGGCGUCAGCCAGCCCUCUGAUCUUGUUCCCACCACUUGGAACCCGAUGGAAUUACAGGAAGAAAAAGCCUGGCUCCUGGGAGGAGCGAGUUUAAUAUAAACAGCCUAUAUAAACACAAACACGUACAAAAGCAGAAUCAUCUUCCAAAUAAAUAAAUAGCUGCGUUUGCUCCAGUUACACGCUAGCAGCAGUCAGCUUAAGCCCUGUGGAACCAAGCAAGCUCACCCCUCCAGACACCUCGCCAGAGAACCUGGCAUCUCCCCCUGCCCAUAACAACCCCCAAGUCCUCCGGGACGCUUGGAAGCCUCUCAGCGAGGACACCCACCAGCUCAGGAAGCCUUCUGCUGCCGGCGAGGCGCGGUGCCCUCCUGCAGCCGGGCCGAGAGCCUCAGUGGCGGCUGUCCGAUGUGCACAGCAGCUGUCCGCCCUGCUCGGGGCAGCUGCAGCGCUGGGAGCCGCGGAUGGUGACGGUGCCGGCGGGCACGGCCAUCUCCUCCUGGUCGUAGCACACACACUGGGGACAGCCGUCGGCCCGCGGGCUGCCCAGGGCGAGGCAGGCGGGCCCGGGGCUGGGGCAGAGCGGCGUGCAGGCGAUGUCCCCGCCGGGCCCGCAGGUGCACAGCUUGCGGCCGAAGUCGAUGUAGAAGGAGCGGCCGGCGGGGACGCUGGAGAAGCCCUGCAUGUCGCAGUCAUCGUGCAGCCUGUUUUCAGAGAGUCAGUCCUGGCGUGAAAUUCCCUCCCUGUGACUGCUCCCUCCUCCUUCUCCACUCACACCUUGGAUGUGCGGCACCUGGCAACCCAUGCUGAAUCCUUUUCCUGUUUAAAGGCUGAGGACUCUUUUUUUUUCAGCUUUUCAAGAUUCAGUUUCUCCUUUAAGUGCAUUUUUGGAUCCCUUCCCUCUGUCUGAGUGACCUUAGGUCCUGCUGUAUUAAAUACACCUUUUUCCUUCCUGCACUGGGUCUCUCCAGGUCUGGUCUCUUCUUCCAUUGCCCCAAUGCUUUGAUUAUGUUUAUAUCAUCACCCUUUGAUAGCCCCAAUUUCCUACUCUUGCAGGCAUGCAGCUACUCACAAUUUCUUAACAUCUCUUUAAACAAAAACAUUUGUAAAUUGCAUAACCAUAAAGAAAAAACUUGAAAGCACAGACUCUGUCCAUUAUCAUUUAAAAAAAUAAUAAUACUUUCAAGGUUUUCCGGUUUAAAAGCAAGCUUUUGCUAGUUUAAGUUACUUAGACUCGCUUUAUCUUUGCUGGAGUUCACUGUUCUGCCCCUUCCUUUCAUUCACACAUUUUAAUCCAGUGGUUAUUUUACUGCUGUUCCCAGAGGACUGGCACAGAACCCAGACAUGCUCCCCAUGGAAAAGCUGCAGCUGGAAAGGAUCUCCCUUCCCCAAGCCAAGAGCUCCCUCCUGGCUGCCCCAACUUCAGCCACAUCAGCUUCAGUCCCAUCCAUUGCCAAAACAUCUGACCCCACCCAGCAGUGAAAUUGGGCACCUUUGGCAGAGCCAAUUUCCAGCAGAACCGCGCUAUGGGUCUGGCACUGAGCAGCAUCAACAGCCUCCCGCUAUUUCCUGGGGAAACCUUCAUCCUCCCCCUCCCUUCUGGGGAUCCAGGCUGGCCCUGGCCCGUUCCCAGU
This is a long non-coding RNA of Cyanistes caeruleus (blue tit), 2310 nucleotides long. The record is from Ensembl. NCBI's taxonomy places the organism in Eukaryota, Metazoa, Chordata, Aves, Passeriformes, Paridae.